AGUGAACCGGGAAAAGCUCAAAUUUGUAAUCUGGCUGUCUUCGAUAGUCCGAGUUGUAAUCUAUAGACGUGUUUUCCGUGCUGGACCGUAUCUAAGUCCCUUGGAACAGGGUAUCAAAGAGGGUGACAAUCCCGUGCUUGAUACGACCACCAGUGCUCUGUGAUACACGCUCUACGAGUCGAGUUGUUUGGGAAUGCAGCUCAAAAUGGGUGGUAAAUUCCAUCUAAAGCUAAAUAUUGGCGAGAGACCGAUAGCGAACAAGUACCGUGAGGGAAAGAUGAAAAGCACUUUGGAAAGAGAGUUAAACAGUACGUGAAAUUGUUGAAAGGGAAACGAUUGAAGUCAGUCGUGUUCUUUGGAUUCAGCUAGUUCUUCUAGUCUACUUCCUUUGAACGGGUCAACAUCAGUUUUGUCCGGUGGAUAAAGAUAGUAGGAAUGUAGCUCCCUCGGGAGUGUUAUAGACUAUUAUUGCAUGCACUGGGUGAGACUGAGGACUGCAGCUCGCCUUUUGGCCGACCUUCGGGUACGUUCGAGCUUAGGAUGUUGACA
RNAcentral lists this ribosomal RNA (549 nucleotides) under Cutaneotrichosporon moniliiforme. RNAcentral's name for it is "eukaryotic LSU rRNA". It matches the Rfam family "Eukaryotic large subunit ribosomal RNA", at positions 92 to 631 of the family's 3401-position model. The record is from RNAcentral. Lineage: Eukaryota; Fungi; Basidiomycota; Tremellomycetes; Trichosporonales; Trichosporonaceae.